CGCAUCUGUGCAUGCAGCAUAUCAAUAAGCGGAGGAAAAGAAACUAACAAGGAUUCCCUUAGUAACGGCGAGUGAAGCGGGAAGAGCUCAAAUUUGAAAUCUUCAAGUUUUACCUUGACGAAUUGUAGUUUAAAGAAGUGUUUUCUGCUGAAGUUUUGGUAAAAGUUCUUUGGAAUAGGACAUCAUAGAGGGUGAGAAUCCCGUAUUUGACCAUUAUUUUCAGCUUUGUGAUACACUUUCAAAGAGUCGGAUUGUUUGGGAAUGCAGUCCAAAAUGGGUGGUAAAUUUCAUCUAAAGCUAAAUAUUGGCGAGAGACCGAUAGCGAACAAGUACCGUGAGGGAAAGAUGAAAAGAACUUUGAAAAGAGAGUUAAACAGUACGUGAAAUUGUCAAAAGGGAAGCGUUUGACACCAGUGUUGUUUUCUCGAAAAUCAAUUAAAAAUGGCUCGAUUUUGUAUUGCUUGAGACCUUAAAAGCUCACUGUACAUUUUUCGUGUCUUUUUUAAUGCACUUUUCGUUUAACAAGUCAACAUCAGUUUCUUUUGUUGUAAAAGGGUCAUUGGAAGGUGGCUUUCUUUUCGGAGAAAGUGUUUAUAGCCUUUGGCCUCUGCAAUCGAAGAGACUGAGGUCUGCAGCGUAGACUCUUCGGGGUUAGAUACACUUGUGCUAAGUUAUAGCUUUUUAUAGGACAACUUGUUGACUAUAAUUAGUCUUGUAGCUUACUCGCUUAUGCUAUUUUACCUACGCUUAGGAUGUUGACGCAUGAGAUAUACGC
RNAcentral lists this ribosomal RNA (775 nucleotides) under uncultured Neocallimastigales. RNAcentral describes it as "partial large subunit ribosomal RNA". It matches the Rfam family "Eukaryotic large subunit ribosomal RNA", at positions 26 to 612 of the family's 3401-position model. The record is from RNAcentral. Lineage: Eukaryota; Fungi; Neocallimastigomycota; Neocallimastigomycetes; Neocallimastigales.